AUGCAAGUCGCACGAGAAAAGGCCCUUCGGGGCCUGAGUACAGUGGCGGAAGGGUGAGUAAUGCCUAGACAACCUACCCUCGUGUUGGGGAUAACAGCUGGAAACGGCUGCUAAUACCGAAUGAGGCCGUAGAGUUGCAUGACUUUUCGGUGAAAGGCGGGGAUCCUUCGGGACCUGUCGCAUGAGGAGGGGUCUAGGUCCUAUCAGCCUGUUGGUGAGGUGACGGCUCACCAAGGCUUUGACGGGUAGCCGGCCUGAGAGGGUGACCGGCCACACUGGGACUGAGACACUGCCCAGACUCCUACGGGAGGCUGCAGUCGAGAAUCUUCGGCAAUGGGCGCAAGCCUGACCGAGCGACGCCGCGUGGAGGAUGAAGGCCUUCGGGUUGUAAACUCCUGUCACGGGUUAUGAAAUCCUGGGGUGCCAAUACCACCCUUGUGUUGACAAAGGCCCGAGAGGAAGUCAUGGCUAACUCUGUGCCAGCAGCCGCGGUAAUACAGAGAUGGCAAGCGUUGUUCGGAAUUACUGGGCAUAAAGGGCACGUAGGCGGACCUGUAAGUCAGGUGUGAAAUCCCUCGGCUUAACCGAGGAAUUGCGCCUGAUACUGCGGGCCUUGAGGGCAGGAGGGGAGAGUGGAACUCUUGGUGGAGCGGUGAAAUGCGUAGAUACUAAGAGGAACGCCGGUGGCGAAAGCGACUCUCUGGCCUGCUUCUGACGCUGAGGUGCGAAAGCUAGGGGAGCAAACAGGAUUAGAUACCCUGGUAGUCCUAGCCGUAAACGAUGGGCACUAAGUAGAGGGGUUUU
This 804-nucleotide ribosomal RNA is filed under the name uncultured Planctomycetota bacterium. Its description in RNAcentral is "bacterial SSU rRNA". It matches the Rfam family "Bacterial small subunit ribosomal RNA", at positions 55 to 832 of the family's 1533-position model. Lineage: Bacteria; Pseudomonadati; Planctomycetota. The record is from RNAcentral.